Molecule: ribosomal RNA, 2516 nt
Filed under: Klebsiella pneumoniae
Lineage: Bacteria; Pseudomonadati; Pseudomonadota; Gammaproteobacteria; Enterobacterales; Enterobacteriaceae
Description: bacterial LSU rRNA
Rfam family: Bacterial large subunit ribosomal RNA
Source: RNAcentral
GUGAACUCGAAGAGUAGGGCGGGACACGUGGUAUCCUGUCUGAAUAUGGGGGGACCAUCCUCCAAGGCUAAAUACUCCUGACUGACCGAUAGUGAACCAGUACCGUGAGGGAAAGGCGAAAAGAACCCCGGCGAGGGGAGUGAAAAAGAACCUGAAACCGUGUACGUACAAGCAGUGGGAGCACCUUCGGGUGUGACUGCGUACCUUUUGUAUAAUGGGUCAGCGACUUAUAUUCUGUAGCAAGGUUAACCGUAUAGGGGAGCCGCAGGGAAACCGAGUCUUAACUGGGCGUUAAGUUGCAGGGUAUAGACCCGAAACCCGGUGAUCUAGCCAUGGGCAGGUUGAAGGUUGGGUAACACUAACUGGAGGACCGAACCGACUAAUGUUGAAAAAUUAGCGGAUGACUUGUGGCUGGGGGUGAAAGGCCAAUCAAACCGGGAGAUAGCUGGUUCUCCCCGAAAGCUAUUUAGGUAGCGCCUCGUGAACUCAUCUUCGGGGGUAGAGCACUGUUUCGGCUAGGGGGUCAUCCCGACUUACCAACCCGAUGCAAACUACGAAUACCGAAGAAUGUUAUCACGGGAGACACACGGCGGGUGCUAACGUCCGUCGUGAAGAGGGAAACAACCCAGACCGCCAGCUAAGGUCCCAAAGUCAUGGUUAAGUGGGAAACGAUGUGGGAAGGCACAGACAGCCAGGAUGUUGGCUUAGAAGCAGCCAUCAUUUAAAGAAAGCGUAAUAGCUCACUGGUCGAGUCGGCCUGCGCGGAAGAUGUAACGGGGCUAAACCAUGCACCGAAGCUGCGGCAGCGACACUAUGUGUUGUUGGGUAGGGGAGCGUUCUGUAAGCCUGCGAAGGUGUGCUGUGAGGCAUGCUGGAGGUAUCAGAAGUGCGAAUGCUGACAUAAGUAACGAUAAAGCGGGUGAAAAGCCCGCUCGCCGGAAGACCAAGGGUUCCUGUCCAACGUUAAUCGGGGCAGGGUGAGUCGACCCCUAAGGCGAGGCCGAAAGGCGUAGUCGAUGGGAAACAGGUUAAUAUUCCUGUACUUGGUGUUACUGCGAAGGGGGGACGGAGAAGGCUAUGUUAGCCGGGCGACGGUUGUCCCGGUUUAAGCAUGUAGGCUGNUCCAGGCAAAUCCGGAUAAUCAAGGCUGAGGUGUGAUGACGAGGCACUACGGUGCUGAAGUAACAAAUGCCCUGCUUCCAGGAAAAGCCUCUAAGCAUCAGGUAACAUCAAAUCGUACCCCAAACCGACACAGGUGGUCAGGUAGAGAAUACCAAGGCGCUUGAGAGAACUCGGGUGAAGGAACUAGGCAAAAUGGUGCCGUAACUUCGGGAGAAGGCACGCUGGUGUGUAGGUGAAGUCCCUGCGGAUGGAGCUGAGACCAGUCGAAGAUACCAGCUGGCUGCAACUGUUUAUUAAAAACACAGCACUGUGCAAACACGAAAGUGGACGUAUACGGUGUGACGCCUGCCCGGUGCCGGAAGGUUAAUUGAUGGGGUUAUCCGUAAGGAGAAGCUCUUGAUCGAAGCCCCGGUAAACGGCGGCCGUAACUAUAACGGUCCUAAGGUAGCGAAAUUCCUUGUCGGGUAAGUUCCGACCUGCACGAAUGGCGUAAUGAUGGCCAGGCUGUCUCCACCCGAGACUCAGUGAAAUUGAACUCGCUGUGAAGAUGCAGUGUACCCGCGGCAAGACGGAAAGACCCCGUGAACCUUUACUAUAGCUUGACACUGAACAUUGAGCCUUGAUGUGUAGGAUAGGUGGGAGGCUUUGAAGCGUGGACGCCAGUCUGCGUGGAGCCAACCUUGAAAUACCACCCUUUAAUGUUUGAUGUUCUAACGUUGGCCCCUGACCGGGGUUGCGGACAGUGUCUGGUGGGUAGUUUGACUGGGGCGGUCUCCUCCCAAAGCGUAACGGAGGAGCACGAAGGUUAGCUAAUCCUGGUCGGACAUCAGGAGGUUAGUGCAAUGGCAUAAGCUAGCUUGACUGCGAGCGUGACGGCGCGAGCAGGUGCGAAAGCAGGUCAUAGUGAUCCGGUGGUUCUGAAUGGAAGGGCCAUCGCUCAACGGAUAAAAGGUACUCCGGGGAUAACAGGCUGAUACCGCCCAAGAGUUCAUAUCGACGGCGGUGUUUGGCACCUCGAUGUCGGCUCAUCACAUCCUGGGGCUGAAGUAGGUCCCAAGGGUAUGGCUGUUCGCCAUUUAAAGUGGUACGCGAGCUGGGUUUAGAACGUCGUGAGACAGUUCGGUCCCUAUCUGCCGUGGGCGCUGGAGAAUUGAGGGGGGCUGCUCCUAGUACGAGAGGACCGGAGUGGACGCAUCACUGGUGUUCGGGUUGUCAUGCCAAUGGCACUGCCCGGUAGCUAAAUGCGGAAGAGAUAAGUGCUGAAAGCAUCUAAGCACGAAACUUGCCCCGAGAUGAGUUCUCCCUGAGACUNNNNNNGACGUUGAUAGGCCGGGUGUGUAAGCGCAGCGAUGCGUUGAGCUAACCGGUACUAAUGAACCGUGAGGCUUAACCUU